This 392-nucleotide ribosomal RNA is filed under the name uncultured Lactococcus sp. RNAcentral describes it as "bacterial SSU rRNA". It matches the Rfam family "Bacterial small subunit ribosomal RNA", at positions 1001 to 1393 of the family's 1533-position model. The record is from RNAcentral. Lineage: Bacteria; Bacillati; Bacillota; Bacilli; Lactobacillales; Streptococcaceae.
UAGAGAUAGGGAAGUUCCUUCGGGACACGGGUAUACAGGUGGUGCAUGGUUGUCGUCAGCUCGUGUCGUGAGAUGUUGGGUUAAGUCCCGCAACGAGCGCAACCCCUAUUGUUAGUUGCCAUCAUUAAGUUGGGCACUCUAACGAGACUGCCGGUGAUAAACCGGAGGAAGGUGGGGAUGACGUCAAAUCAUCAUGCCCCUUAUGACCUGGGCUACACACGUGCUACAAUGGAUGGUACAACGAGUCGCGAGACAGUGAUGUUUAGCUAAUCUCUUAAAACCAUUCUCAGUUCGGAUUGUAGGCUGCAACUCGCCUACAUGAAGUCGGAAUCGCUAGUAAUCGCGGAUCAGCACGCCGCGGUGAAUACGUUCCCGGGUCUUGUACACACCGA